Molecule: ribosomal RNA, 224 nt
Filed under: uncultured bacterium
Lineage: Bacteria
Description: partial 16S ribosomal RNA
Rfam family: Bacterial small subunit ribosomal RNA
Source: RNAcentral
UAACGCGUAAAGAACUAGCCUCACAGAUAGGACGAACAUUUGGAAACGGAAGCUAAUACCUGAUAUUAUGAUUUUAGGGUAUCCUAGGAUUAUGAAAGCUAUAUGCGCUGUGAGAGAGCUUUGCGUCCCAUUAGCUAGUUGGAGAGGUAACGGCUCACCAAGGCGAUGAUGGGUAGCCGGCCUGAGGGGGUGAUCGGCCACAAGGGGACUGAGACACGGCCCUU